Molecule: transfer RNA, 75 nt
Filed under: Kiloniella laminariae
Lineage: Bacteria; Pseudomonadati; Pseudomonadota; Alphaproteobacteria; Rhodospirillales; Kiloniellaceae
Description: tRNA-Gln
Rfam family: tRNA
About the family: Transfer RNA (tRNA) molecules are approximately 80 nucleotides in length. Their secondary structure includes four short double-helical elements and three loops (D, anti-codon, and T loops). Further hydrogen bonds mediate the characteristic L-shaped molecular structure. tRNAs have two regions of fundamental functional importance: the anti-codon, which is responsible for specific mRNA codon recognition, and the 3' end, to which the tRNAs corresponding amino acid is attached (by aminoacyl-tRNA synthetases). tRNAs cope with the degeneracy of the genetic code in two manners: having more than one tRNA (with a specific anti-codon) for a particular amino acid; and 'wobble' base-pairing, i.e. permitting non-standard base-pairing at the 3rd anti-codon position.
Source: RNAcentral
UGGGGCGUGGCCAAGCGGUAAGGCAUCGCUUUUUGGUAGCGACAUGCGCAGGUUCGAAUCCUGCCGCCCCAGCCA